AGUGAACGCUGGCGGUAUGCCUAACACAUGCAAGUCGAACGGCAGCACAGUAAGAGCUUGCUCUUACGGGUGGCGAGUGGCGGACGGGUGAGGAAUACAUCGGAAUCUACUUUUUCGUGGGGGAUAACGUAGGGAAACUUACGCUAAUACCUCAUACGACCUACGGGUGAAAGCAGGGGAUCUUCGGACCUUGCGCGAUUGAAUGAGCCGAUGUCGGAUUAGCUAGUUGGCGGGGUAAAGGCCCACCAAGGCGACGAUCCGUAGCUGGUCUGAGAGGAUGAUCAGCCACACUGGAACUGAGACACGGUCCAGACUCCUACGGGAGGCAGCAGUGGGGAAUAUUGGACAAUGGGCGCAAGCCUGAUCCAGCCAUACCGCGUGGGUGAAGAAGGCCUUCGGGUUGUAAAGCCCUUUUGUUGGGAAAGAAAAGCAGCAGGUUAAUACCCCGCUGUUCUGACGGUACCCAAAGAAUAAGCACCGGCUAACUUCGUG
RNAcentral lists this ribosomal RNA (492 nucleotides) under uncultured bacterium. RNAcentral describes it as "partial 16S ribosomal RNA". It matches the Rfam family "Bacterial small subunit ribosomal RNA", at positions 29 to 507 of the family's 1533-position model. The record is from RNAcentral.